Molecule: transfer RNA, 76 nt
Filed under: Candidatus Zixiibacteriota bacterium
Lineage: Bacteria; Pseudomonadati; Candidatus Zixiibacteriota
Description: candidate division Zixibacteria bacterium tRNA-Ala
Rfam family: tRNA
About the family: Transfer RNA (tRNA) molecules are approximately 80 nucleotides in length. Their secondary structure includes four short double-helical elements and three loops (D, anti-codon, and T loops).
Source: RNAcentral
GGGGCAGUAGCUCAGCUGGGAGAGCGCCACGUUCGCAACGUGGAGGUCGUCGGUUCGAUCCCGAUCUGCUCCACCA